This 86-nucleotide ribosomal RNA is filed under the name Flavobacterium resistens. Lineage: Bacteria; Pseudomonadati; Bacteroidota; Flavobacteriia; Flavobacteriales; Flavobacteriaceae. The record is from RNAcentral.
CACCUCUUCCCAUCCCGAACAGAGAAGUUAAGCCCGCCUGCGCAGAUGGUACUGCAAUUAUGUGGGAGAGUAUGUCGUCGCCUUUC